CAUUAGUGUAGCCUUCUGUUUAAAAUCUUUGCCACAAUAAUGACAUUUGAAUAGACGCAGAUCAGAGUCUUUUUUUCUUGUUGGUGAAUAAGGACAUGAAACUUGAUCGACUUAACAUGUGUGGAGGCCCAUCUCUCACACCAGAAUAGUAAUUGGAAGAGUCGGCCGGAUCAUAAUAGUCUGGUUGGGUUCGAUCAGAUUCAACAACACUGUCUUCUGGUGGUGUUUCAUCUUCUCCACCAUUUCCAGAACCUAUUCAAGAUAUUCAAAUAAAGUUAUACUUUUUAGGUGGAACAACUGCUUGUUCAGUUGGUUUAUGUUGAGAUGAUACAAGAGCUGGGUAACCGUUUUGUGAAGGCCCCGGACCCCAUUGGCCAUUACUGCUGUUUGUCCCUUGUUGAUGAUGGCCAUCUUUGUUGUUUAUAACAUAUGAAGUACCGUUCUCUGUAAAAUAAAAUACAUACAUUCAAAACCGGGUACCUAUGCUCGUUUCAAUGAGUAACAACAACAGUCAACAAUCAAGACAACGGUGGGCAUAUUUUGAAUUUUUGUUUAUGUAAAUAUCUGUUUUGUUAAUAAAUUAAAGAAUCUAAUG
Molecule: long non-coding RNA, 595 nt
Organism: Aphis gossypii (cotton aphid)
Lineage: Eukaryota; Metazoa; Arthropoda; Insecta; Hemiptera; Aphididae
Exons: 3
Source: RefSeq, a predicted model, not a curated record